GACGAACGCUGGCGGCGUGCUUAACACAUGCAAGUCGAACGGAAAGGCCCUGCUUUUGUGGGUUGCUCGAGUGGCGAACGGGUGAGUAACACGUGAGUAACCUGCCCUUGACUUUGGGAUAACUUCUGGAAACUGGGGCUAAUACCGGCUAGGAGCUCCUGCUGCAUGGUGGGGGUUGGAAAGUUUCGGCGGUUGGGGAUGGACUCGCGGCUUAUCAGCUGGUUGGUGGGGUAGUGGCUUACCAAGGCUUUGACGGGUAGCCGGCCUGAGAGGGUGACCGGCCACAUUGGGACUGAGAUACGGCCCAGACUCCUACGGGAGGCAGCAGUGGGGAAUAUUGCACAAUGGGCGGAAGCCUGAUGCAGCAACGCCGCGUGCGGGAUGACGGCCUUCGGGUUGUAAACCGCUUUCGCCUGUGACGAAGCGUGAGUGACGGUAAUGGGUAAAGAAGCACCGGCUAACUACGUG
Molecule: ribosomal RNA, 468 nt
Filed under: uncultured bacterium
Lineage: Bacteria
Description: partial 16S ribosomal RNA
Rfam family: Bacterial small subunit ribosomal RNA
Source: RNAcentral